AUAAGUAAACUGAUUCUGACAGGUAAAAAUGAUCAAAGGCUAUGCCGUCUAGCGUCAGAAAGAAGAAACGUUUAAAAGUAAACAUGAAAAAAUGUCUGCUGUAGCUCGGUGACACUCAAUUUAAAGAACUGACAAACAAAGGUUACAAUGGCCAUUGAUAAUUGGAGAGCAGCAUUGGAAUGUGACAGGUUGUCUAGGCUAAAAGCCCUAGGGAAACUUCGUCUGCUCCUAAGUUACACAGUACACAACUACACAUCAUAAGUUACUUUACAAAAUAAAAACAAAUUCAGAUUAGGAUUUCAAGAAGAUUUCAGCUGAAGUUGACCUAGGUGCAGCCUUAGAGCUUGUGUAAACAGAGAUCAAAUGGACAAUCCAAUAAUGCAAGCUGUCUUCCCUAAACUAAAUGGUCUGCAUUUGCAAGAAAAUUGCAUGACAACAUUGAAAGAUUGUGGUGAGUUGAUUUUGAUUAAGUUUAAAUUUAGGGAAAUGUAAGAUUGAUAGAU
RNAcentral lists this long non-coding RNA (503 nucleotides) under Daphnia pulex (common water flea). RNAcentral's name for it is "uncharacterized LOC124194696". Lineage: Eukaryota; Metazoa; Arthropoda; Branchiopoda; Diplostraca; Daphniidae. The record is from RNAcentral.